CCACACCCACAGCAUGUGGAAGUUCCUGGGCCAAGGAUCAAACCCAUGCAGUGACCACGCAGUGACCUGGGCCGCUGCAGUGACAAUGCUGGAUCCUUAAUCUGAUGUGCCACAAGAGAAUUCCCUAGAUGGAUCAUUUCUUAAUGAAAUAAAAUAUAUGUCUAUAAUACAAGAUGUUAUACUUACUGGAUGAACACCAAAAGCAUUCCCAUUAUUAUCCAACACAGUGUUGCCCGUAUCUUCACCAGUAUUCUUUAAGAUAUUUUUUUCUGUAUGUAGCAGCCUAUAUAAUUGGAGAGGUGAAAGGAAAAUGAAACAAGAAUUGAACAGAAGAAAUAAUUUUUUGUAUUAUUUUUAUAAUUAGAAAAUCCAAGAGGAUCAAGUAAAAUUUGUAGAAAAAUUAAUUAUCUAGUUAUUAAAUUAAUAUACAGAAAUCAAGCUUCUCUGUUUACAAAUAACUGUACAGAAUAAAUGGGGAGAAAUUCCACUUUAUAAGCCACCAAAACCAGGAGAAAGCAAACAGAACCUAAAAAUAGACUUAAGCAGUAUGUCAACUCCAUAUGAAGAUGACUUUAAUAAAACUCCAAGAGACAUAAAGUAAGGCUUGAAUAAAUAGCUAGUUUUAACCUACAUUUUUCUUGAAGGAUAGCACGUGUUUUCAGUUGAAUAGCUCCAUUGUCCUGACCUGUGAAAUCCAAGAAGUCUGAUAGCUUUCUUCAUUCUGUCCUGCUUUCUUUGUCUCCUUUAGUUCAAACUGGCAGUACCUCUACUGGUAUAAUCUCAUUUCUAUUCCUGACUUCCAUUGAAAUGACUGAUUAAAUUUAUAAGUUGCACUAAUGAUUUUUUAGUCAAAUGAUUGGUCACGAAGUUCCUGUUGUGGCACAGCAGAAACAAAUCUGAGCAGUAACCAUGAAGUUGUGGGUUCAGUCCCUGCCCUCGCUCAGUGGUUAAGGAUUGGUGUUGCCAUGAGCUGUGGUGUAGGUUGCAGAAGCAGCUCAGAUCUGGUGUUGCUGUGGUUGUGGUAUAGGCUGGUGGCUACAGUUCCGAUUCGAUCCUUAGCCUGGGAACCUCCAUCUGCCACCAGUGCAGCCCAUAACAACAACAACAGAAAAGAUUGGCCAGUCACACUCUUAGUAUUUUCUUCAGGACACAUUGUCUCAUUUUUUGCAGUGUGGAUAAGCUGACAAUUUACCAAACCUUCUAAUUCUGGUUCCCUUUUACUUGACAAUUACUGCUUCAAUUGUCUCUCUCUUUUAAUCUUUUCCUAUAAGCAAUCAGAAGGGAUCAAGCCACUCUUUCAACACUGCUUAGAAAUCUCCUCAGCUAAUUAUCCACUUUCAUCACUUGCAAGUUCUACUUUCCAAAAACACUAGAAUGUAGUUUGGCUAUUUGCCACUUUAUAAUAAGGAUUGCCUUCCCUCCAGUUUCAAACAACAUAUUUCUUAUGUCUGAAAACUCACCAAAAUCGCCCUAAUAUACAUAUUUCUAGCAUGUACUCAAAACAGUUCCAGCCCCUACCAGUUACCCAGUUCCAAAGCCACUUUCAUAUAUUUUUUUAAUGUAGGUAUUGCAGCAACAUCCUACUCUCAGUACCAAAAGCUGUCUUAGUCUGCUUAGGUGGCCAUAACAGAACACCAUAGACUGAGUGGCUGAAACAGCAGAGAUUGAUUUUCUCACAGUUCUUGAAGCUGGAAGCCUGAGAUGACGGUUUAGGGUUUCAGCAUGGUGGAUUUCUGGUGAUGGCUCUCUUCCUGGCUUUAGGUGUUUCCUUUCCUGCUCUCUCUUUGCCAUGUCAGGACACAGGGAGAUGGCAGCAUCUAUAAGGUGGGAAGAAAGCCAUUAGCAGAAAACAACCAUGUUGGCACCCUGAUCUCAGAUGCCCAAACACCAGAAAUGUGAGAAAAUAAAUUUCUGUUGUUUAAGACCCUACUCUGUGGUAUUUUGUUAUGGUAGCCCAAACGGUUUUAGACACUGAUAAAUCUUUUCCUUGAUUUAAUUUUCACUCUGCUGAACUUUCUCAAUUACUUAGAAUGAUUAUAAAAAUGGUAUAAUUUUAGCUUCCUUGCAUGUUCCUAAAUGUAUGUCUUUCAUAUAAAAAUAAGAUUAUGAGGAUAUAUUCUUGGAUCAUGGCUCUUUCCUCUGGUAAUCUGUUCUUAGCUUACAUGAGAAACUCGAUGCUGUUUUAAUUUUCUUUCUUCUGUAAGUAAUCUAUUAUUUCUAUCUGUAGGCUUAUAAAAUUUUCUAUUUAUCUCUGUCAUUCAAAAAAUUCCUUAGAUAACUCUUGAAAUUAACCCUAUUUUAAACUCAGUGAGCCUUUCUAUUUGAAAAUUUAAAUCUUUUUAUUAUUCAGGGAACUUAUUCCAUUAUCUAUUUGGUUAUUUCUUCUUGCCCAGCUCUCCCUCUCUCUUUUUGGGGAGCCCUGUAUCAGUUCCAUGUCUCUUAUCUUUUCACUUGUGAUUGCUAUGAUUUUUGCUUUAUGUCUUCCUUUGAUUUCCCAAGAUAUUAACUUGGUUUAUAGCACUUUUAAGUUUCAUUAUUGAAAUUUAAAAUUUUGAAACCCUAUUUCUCUUUCCUAAAACUCUAUUUAUUUUUUUGUUCCCUUAUUGUUCUGUUGUGCUAUAUUGUAAAACCUUAAGAAUUUACACUACAGCUCAGUCAAGACUUUGAUUUUUCCAACUAAAUAUAUUCUCACUGGAAACCAACUUCUCUGAACACUUGAUUUGGUCUAACUCCUUAAAAUUAGUGUGUUCUUAUGAUCCUUAAUCUAUUUCUGCCUACUCAUGUGUUUGGGUGAGAGUUUCCUUAAAUGUAUCUUAGUUGUCAUUUCAGGUUCUCCAGGAAACCAAUUUGAGUUGAUUAGGGAUACGGAAUAUGCUUCUUUGCUGUGAGGCAAGUAACAGUACUGCUGGCUCAGCUGAGGUUAGAUGUUCAGGCCUUUUGCUUUUUGUGCCUUUUUAGUACAAGUGGGAAAGAGAGAGACCCCUCUCCCAGCUGCACUCAAAGAAAGCAGUUGAUUCCAACAGUUAAUUUCUACUAAAGCAGGAUUAACUACAUCCUGAUUAUUAAAAUUCUAUCAAAACCACACAUAGAGGGCAGGACAAAAUCCUUUAGAGGCUCCACUCCAUGAACAGAAACUGGAGUGUCCCCUGUCCUCCCACCACACUAUAUAUAAUACAUGAUAAAAACAAUCAGCAUAAGAAAAUCCAGCCAUGCUGUGAUCCUCACAUGAUACUUUAAAGUCAAUCAUCAAAUACUAUUAAUUUUAAUUUUCCCAUAAUCCCUGCUUUACCAUUGCCAUAAGCACUUGCUUGUUUGGUCAGGAAAUAAUCCAGCGAUAUAUGUAUUGUGAGCAGGCUGGGUGGUUCAUCUAUAAAUGUUGAGGGAAUCCAUCCAGCAUUCUUAGCUGGAACGCCCUAGCAGCUGUGAGACCAAAUUCUUUGCUCCAAUGCCAUCAUGAAAACCUUUUCCCAGGCCUCUGAACCUGAGUUUUCCUGUGGAGCAGUAAACAGGGGCAUUCUAAUGCUAACCUCUCCUGGCACUGACUGCCCUAGUCUCAAUAGAAUAAAAGGUUCGGAUGUAUUUGGGGGCCCUAUUAUUUUCCAGGAAUAAGUUGCACUCAAGAUACAGGUUGAGCUGUCUCUAACGUAAUAGGGAGAGUAAGGGAGUCAUAGAUAUGUUCUUAGGAAAGUAUUUUCAAGGAUUUUGUAUAAUUUUUAGGUGAUAACAUCAUCCUGUUUUCAUAAAAUGAGAUGAACAAGGUUCAGUCCUAAUUCGAUAGUUUGCUGUCUUCAGAAUAUUUCAACAUUACUUGAGUUCUUUUCUUUAUUGAAAAAAAAUCAUCUUAAGAACUAGAGCUGAAACAGUACAUAAAGUGAUGUAGCCUCAGUGCUUUUUAUGAGUAAAUGUUCUUCCAGGACUAGAUUCAAUUAACUACAUUAGUUUAAUGAGAAGUCCAAUUUCCCAGAUACCAUCUUUGAUGUUCAGAAUUACACUGAAGUUAUUUGUGUAGAAACUGGUGAUCAGUACAGAAAAUUGACUUUAUAAUUGUUCAAACAUUUUGAAAUUCUAAAUUGCGAGUUUCCUUGGUGAUAGAUUGAUUGCAUAGUUGGUAUUUUAGAAUGCUCAUUACUUUUUCAUAAAAAUUAUUAAAUGGAAAUAUACAUGAUUUUCUAUUCAUCCCUUCUAUGUCUGUUUCUUUUUGACUUGCUCAGAUUGCUAAUGGAGAAGAAAGUGAUAUAGGCUUCUUCCCAGCUUGAUUUAAGAUCACAGUUGACUCACAUCUAACUCUUUUUUUGUUUCCUCUUUUAACAUUUUCAUUAAAGUAUAGUUGAUUUACAAUGUUUCUUCAAUUUCUAUUGUACAGCAAAGUUACCCAGUCAUAUGUAUAUGUACAUUUUUUUUCCAUACCAUCUUCUAUCAUGUUCCAACACAAGAGAUUGGACAUAGUUACCUGUGUUGUACAGUACAGUAGUACAAUCCCAUUGCUUAUUUAUUUCAGAUGUAACAGUUUGCAUCUACUAGCCCCAAACUCCCUGUCCAUCCUUCUCAUUCCCCCAAUCUCCCCCGCCCCCGGCAACCACAAGUCUAUUCUCCAUGUCCAUGAUCUGUUUCUAUUUUGUAAAUAGGAUUGUCUUGCCAUAUUUUAUAUUCUGCAUGUAAGUGAUAUCAUAUGGUAUUUGUCUUUCUCUUUCUGACUUACUUCACUUAGUAUAAGAAUCUCUAGUUGCAUCCAUGUUGCUGCAAAUGGCAUUUUGUCCUUCGUUAUGGCUGAGUAGUAUUCCAUUGUAUAUAUGUACAUGUCUUCUUAAUCCAUUCAUCUGUUGAUGGACAUUUAGGUUGUUUCCAUGUCUUGGCUAUUGUGAAUAGUGCCUCUAUGAACAUACGGGUGCAUGUAUUUUUUGAAUUAAAGUUUUGUCUGGAUAUUUGCCCAGGAGUGGGAUUUCUGGAUUAUAUGGUAGUUCUAUAUUAAGUUUUCCAAGGAGCCUCCAUACUGUUUUCCAUAGUGGUUGUACCAAUUUACAUUCCCACCAACAGUGAAGGAGGGUUCCCUUUUCUCCCUGCCUUCUCCAGCAUUUGUUAAUUGCUCGUUAAUGAUGGCCAUUCUGACUGGUGUGAGGUGGUACCUCAUUGUACUUUUGAUUUGUAUUUCUAUAAUUAGUGAUGUUGAGUAUUUUUUCAUGAGUCUCCUGGAUAACUGUAUGUCUUCUUUGGAGAAAUGUCUGUUUAAGUCUUCUUCCUAUUUUUGAAUUGAGUUUUGUUGUUGUUGAAUUGUGUGACUUGUUUCUACAUAUUGAAGAUUAGGCCUUUGUUGCAUUGUUUUGCAAAGAUUUUCUCCCAUUCUGUGGGUUUUUUGUUUUUUUAUUGGUUUUCUUUACUGUGCAAAAGCAUUUGAUUUUAAUUAAGUCCCAUUGGUUUAUUUUUAUUUUUAUCGACCUUAUUCUAAGAGGUGGAUCAAACAAGAUGUUGCUGUGAUUUAUGUCAAAGUGCAUUCUGCCUUUGUUUUCCUCUAGGAGUUUUAUAGUAUCUGGCCUUAUAUUUA
Molecule: long non-coding RNA, 5539 nt
Filed under: Sus scrofa (pig)
Lineage: Eukaryota; Metazoa; Chordata; Mammalia; Artiodactyla; Suidae
Description: lncRNA (ENSSSCG00000061278.1)
Source: RNAcentral